Molecule: transfer RNA, 83 nt
Filed under: Glycomyces niveus
Lineage: Bacteria; Bacillati; Actinomycetota; Actinomycetes; Glycomycetales; Glycomycetaceae
Description: tRNA-Leu
Rfam family: tRNA
About the family: Transfer RNA (tRNA) molecules are approximately 80 nucleotides in length. Their secondary structure includes four short double-helical elements and three loops (D, anti-codon, and T loops).
Source: RNAcentral
GCGCGAGUGGCGGAAUGGCAGACGCGCUGUCUUCAGGUGGCAGUAUCCGGAAGGGUGUGGGGGUUCAAGUCCCCCCUCGCGCA